ACGAACCGUACAAACGUUACUCGGAAUUACUGGGCUUAAAGGGUGCGUAGGCUGCGCGGAAAGUUGGGUGUGAAAUCCCUCGGCUCAACCGGGGAAUUGCAUCCAAAACUACCGUGCUAGAGGGAGAUAGAGGUGAGCGGAACUCAAGGUGGAGCGGUGAAAUGCGUUGAUAUCUUGAGGAACACCGGUGGCGAAGGCGGCUCACUGGAUCUCUUCUGACGCUGAGGCACGAAAGCCAAGGUAGCAAACGGG
This 252-nucleotide ribosomal RNA is filed under the name uncultured bacterium. Its description in RNAcentral is "partial 16S ribosomal RNA". It matches the Rfam family "Bacterial small subunit ribosomal RNA", at positions 525 to 776 of the family's 1533-position model. The record is from RNAcentral.